CCUACGGGUGGCAGCAGUGAGGAAUAUUGGUCAAUGGACGAGAGUCUGAACCAGCCAAGUAGCGUGAAGGAUGACUGCCCUAUUGGUUGUAAACUUCUUUUAUAUGGGAAUAAAAUGUUCCACGUGUGGGAUUUUGUAUGUACCUUAUGAAUAAGGAUCGGCUAACUCCGUGCCAGCAGCCGCGGUAAUACGGAGGAUCCGAGCGUUAUCCGGAUUUAUUGGGUUUAAAGGGAGCGUAGGUGGGUUGUUAAGUCAGUUGUGAAAGUUUGCGGCUCAACCGUAAAAUUGCAAUUGAUACUGGCAGUCUUGAGUACAGUAGAGGUGGGCGGAAUUCGUGGUGUAGCGGUGAAAUGCUUAGAUAUCACGAAGAACUCCGAUUGCGAAGGCAGUUCACUGGACUGUAACUGACACUGAUGCUCGAAAGUGUGGGUAUCAAACAGGAUUAGAUACCCUUGUAGUC
RNAcentral lists this ribosomal RNA (460 nucleotides) under uncultured bacterium. RNAcentral describes it as "partial 16S ribosomal RNA". It matches the Rfam family "Bacterial small subunit ribosomal RNA", at positions 338 to 795 of the family's 1533-position model. The record is from RNAcentral.